ACUCCUACGGGAGGCAGCAGUGGGGAAUAUUGCACAAUGGGCGCAAGCCUGAUGCAGCCAUGCCGCGUGUGUGAAGAAGGCCUUCGGGUUGUAAAGCACUUUCAGUCGUGAGGAAGGUAGUGUAGUUAAUAGCUGCAUUAUUUGACGUUUAGCGACAGAAGAAGCACCGGCUAACUCCGUGCCAGCAGCCGCGGUAAUACGGAGGGUGCGAGCGUUAAUCGGAAUUACUGGGCGUAAAGCGCAUGCAGGUGGUUUGUUAAGUCAGAUGUGAAAGCCCGGGGCUCAACCUCGGAAUAGCAUUUGAAACUGGCAGACUAGAGUACUGUAGAGGGGGUUAGAAUUUCAGGUGUAGCGGUGAAAUGCGUAGAGAUCGUGAAGGUAAUACCGGUGGCGAAGGCGGCCCCCU
Molecule: ribosomal RNA, 406 nt
Filed under: uncultured bacterium
Lineage: Bacteria
Description: bacterial SSU rRNA
Rfam family: Bacterial small subunit ribosomal RNA
Source: RNAcentral